GUGGCACAAAUGGUUAAGUGCAAUCGGCUGCUAACCGAAAGGUUGGAGGUUCAAGUCCACCC
Molecule: transfer RNA, 62 nt
Filed under: Loxodonta africana (African savanna elephant)
Lineage: Eukaryota; Metazoa; Chordata; Mammalia; Proboscidea; Elephantidae
Rfam family: tRNA
About the family: Transfer RNA (tRNA) molecules are approximately 80 nucleotides in length. Their secondary structure includes four short double-helical elements and three loops (D, anti-codon, and T loops).
Source: Rfam by way of RNAcentral